Molecule: long non-coding RNA, 2090 nt
Organism: Carassius carassius (crucian carp)
Lineage: Eukaryota; Metazoa; Chordata; Actinopteri; Cypriniformes; Cyprinidae
Exons: 2
Source: RefSeq, a predicted model, not a curated record
GGGAUCUCUCUAAAAUUAUUUUGUGAUGGCAUGAUUGCUUGGUUUUCCCAGUUUAGCUGACUAAAAUGGGUUCUUUCUUCUUCCCAUUAAAUGAGGAGUUAACUGUGUGUGUGUGUGUGUGUGAGAGAGAGAGAGAGAGAGAGAGAUUGUGUAAUUAAGAAGUAAAAGACAGGUGUUUAUGGACCGGUGUGGUUUGCAUAAGUGACCUGUAGGGGGCAUCAAACACACAAGCAGCUGUGCUCAGGAUAAUGUUGGACUUGAGUUGAGUUUAUUUGUUAGUCUCAGAGGGAAAAUCAUCGAGUCUUCGUCUGAGUUAGUUUUCGUGUUAUUUAUUGUUCAAGACUGCAGAGGCUUGCCUUGCUCAGUCAUAGAGAGACAACACAAUAAGGGACCGAUUGAGAAUAUCAGAGCAGUUUGAACAGUGCUUCUUUUCUUAUGUGGUUUCAGGAAGAAGAACUGAAGCGGCAGAAGGCAAUUGCUUUCAAAUUCACUUACAAAUUCCCCACCGAGUGCUAAAAUAACAGCCUUUUCCAAAGUGGUCUGUUUGCCAUUUUUCUUUUUGUAGCUCUUCUUUUUCUAAACACGUAUGCAGAGAACCAUAGCUUAAAAUUUUGGUGGACCCUGCUUAUCACAGGAACAGGCACAAUUUUUCUAUUUCCUUAAGAAUAGUUCACCCAAAAUUAAAAUUAGCAGAAGAUGUACUCGCCCUCAGUUUCUUCAGCGGAAGAUAUCUGGAAAAAGUUUGAAUUACAUCACUUGCUUUUCACUUAAGACAUUAACUGAUGGACUUUAAUUGAUGCAUCCAUACAUUGCUGAGAAUCCAGUUAGAGGAAGUGAUGUAAUGCUGAAUUUCUCUAAAUCUGUUCUGAUGAAGAAACAAACUCCUCUACAUCUCAGAUGACCUGAAACUAAGCAAAUACUCAGCAAAUUUUCAUUUUAGGGUGAACUUUUCCUUUAACAGACAUGCAUGUUUAAUGCAAGUCAAAAGCUUUCCAUUCCAGCACAAUACUUAGAUUAAAUCGGCUUAUCGUCAUCCAAAUGCUUAAGCUGCCUUGGCUACGAUACCCUGAUCAAUAAGUGAGUUUGUAAUGUGUGUGUGUGUGUGUGUGUUCUACAUCAGAUUGCUCUCUGGAGAGAGUAAAGGCUCUUAUUAUAGCAGCACAGUAGCAUCUGUGGUCUAAGCAUAUUUACAAAAACUUAAUUUGUGUCUUCAGUCCUGAUUUUUUCCUUGUUUGAUUAGUUCAGCCAGUUUAUCAAUGUGAAUGAAAAAAAAAAAAUAUAAGUAAGACCUGUGUGUAUUAUGGUUGUGUAAUUUGUCUUUUCGUCAGGAGUGCAGGUGCGACACUUUUUGUAUUGUUCGGAAAAUGUCAAAAGUGUUCAACCUUGUAAUGUUCACCAGCGCUAUAAAAUAAUAAUUGUUUGGUCAGUGUUUCUUAUUUUGUGUCAAUGUCCCAGGGGAAAAAAACAAUAUGAAUGUACCAGAAUGUAUUUAUAACAUGGAUGAUUAUUAAAUAUUUCUUUUAUUAUUAUUAUUAACUUGAACUGCAACCAUUUUAGAUCAUCAUAACGCUUCAGUUUAAAACUUAAGACACUAACCUACUCUUAACCUCCCACCGAGUGCUUUCUUACUUUUAGGCCCACAUUGAAAGUAUUAUUAAUGUUUUGAGCGUUUUCCCCAAAACUGGUGUGUUGGGACUAUUACUGAUCAAGUUUAACUGCAAUUUGUCUGUGUUCUGCGCUUCAUCUGUAAAUUUGACUGCUUAAGUCUAGUGCUGACAGAGUCUUUGUAGCUCUUCUGACUGAAAACAUUGUUAUUUUUCUGCUAAAUCAAGGGGACUGAAACUGGGACUGAAAGGCCUUUGCUGUGGUGGGUUUAGGCAAGGGCUUUGUAUAGAAAAAGAUAUAAUGCAUAUCCUAGAUAAUGGCGUAAGUUAACAAUAAUAUUGGGAUACAAUAGUUUUAUAUUUGAAAUGUGUGAAGGUAAAAUUGACCAGAGUUAUAAAACACAAAAAAGCUUUGAGAAUGUCAUGUAGGUUGAAACAUUGUAACAUACUAUUUUAAAUAAAAUGACCUAUUGAAAAAAAAAAAAA